GAUGAACGCUGGCGGCGUGCUUAACACAUGCAAGUCGAACGAAACACCUUAUUUGAUUUUCUUCGUAACUGACGAUUUGGUGAUUGAGUGUCGGACGGGUGAGUAACACGUGGGUAACCUGCCCUGUACAGGUGGAUAACAGUCAGAAAUGACUGCUAAUACUGCAUAAGACCACAGCACCACAUAGUGCAGGUGUAAAAACUCCGGUGGUACAGGAUGGACCCGCGUCUGAUUAGCUGGUUGGUGAGGUAACGGCUCACCAAGGGGACGAUCAGUAGCCGGCUUGAGAGAGUGAACGGCGACAAUGGGACUGAGACACGGACCAAACUCCUACGGGAGGCAGCAGUGGGGAAUAUUGACCAAUGGGGGAAAGCCUGAUGCAGCGACGCCGCGUGAGUGAAGAAGUAUUUAGGUAUGUAAAGCUCUAUCAGCAGGGAAGAAAAUGACGGUACCUGACUAAGAAGCCCCGGCUAACUACGUG
Molecule: ribosomal RNA, 481 nt
Filed under: uncultured bacterium
Lineage: Bacteria
Description: partial 16S ribosomal RNA
Rfam family: Bacterial small subunit ribosomal RNA
Source: RNAcentral